ACGACCGUAGCUCAGUUGGUUAGAGCACCACCUUGACCAUUGGUGGGGGUCGGUGGUUCGAAUCCACUCGGUCGUACCA
This 79-nucleotide transfer RNA is filed under the name Pseudoalteromonas luteoviolacea 2ta16. Its description in RNAcentral is "tRNA-Val". It matches the Rfam family "tRNA". From Rfam's summary of the family: Transfer RNA (tRNA) molecules are approximately 80 nucleotides in length. Their secondary structure includes four short double-helical elements and three loops (D, anti-codon, and T loops). Further hydrogen bonds mediate the characteristic L-shaped molecular structure. tRNAs have two regions of fundamental functional importance: the anti-codon, which is responsible for specific mRNA codon recognition, and the 3' end, to which the tRNAs corresponding amino acid is attached (by aminoacyl-tRNA synthetases). tRNAs cope with the degeneracy of the genetic code in two manners: having more than one tRNA (with a specific anti-codon) for a particular amino acid; and 'wobble' base-pairing, i.e. permitting non-standard base-pairing at the 3rd anti-codon position. Lineage: Bacteria; Pseudomonadati; Pseudomonadota; Gammaproteobacteria; Alteromonadales; Pseudoalteromonadaceae. The record is from RNAcentral.